This 72-nucleotide transfer RNA is filed under the name Saprolegnia parasitica CBS 223.65. It matches the Rfam family "tRNA". From Rfam's summary of the family: Transfer RNA (tRNA) molecules are approximately 80 nucleotides in length. Lineage: Eukaryota; Oomycota; Saprolegniomycetes; Saprolegniales; Saprolegniaceae. The record is from Rfam by way of RNAcentral.
GCCCGUCUAGCUCAGUCGGUAGAGCGCGAAGGCUCUAACUUGUGGUCGUGGGUUCGAGCCCCACGGUGGGCG